RNAcentral lists this long non-coding RNA (958 nucleotides) under Struthio camelus australis. RNAcentral describes it as "lncRNA (ENSSCUG00000013601.1)". Lineage: Eukaryota; Metazoa; Chordata; Aves; Struthioniformes; Struthionidae. The record is from RNAcentral.
CCCCCCUCCCGGCGGUCGUGAGGGGGUGCGGGCGGCGGGGAAGAUCAAGCUACGCCUUGGAGCCAGGCUGUGACCUUUAAAGACGAUCGGAGUGCUCUCCCUGCAGCCAGUUCCCAGGACUGGGGUUGGGAAAGGGAGGCUACGGCGAGGGAGGCCGUAGCACUGCACAAAGUGAGGCGAUAUGCAUCAUUUAAUUGCCCUUAACGUGCUUGGCGUGCAACUUAGAAAGGUUCUGGCGUCUCUUCGAGCACAUGGAUUUACAUGUGCCGCUCCCCUGUAAAAUAAGCAAAAGGAAGCAAGAGGACAGGGAGAUCCAUCUGUACACACAUUUAAACGUACAGUUUGACAAGGUUACUGGAUGCAGUGGGAUUCACCAGGACUUGAAGAAUUGCUUGAAGAAUUGCUUUUAAACAUGAUUUUAGCCAGCGUUAAUUCCAGGAUAGAUACAGUCUCACAGCAUAUGCUUCUCUCAAACAUCAUGCAGUUCUGCUUUCUGGGAAGAAAUAAAAAAAGAAAUACCCUCCUUCUUCCUGUAUGUGAUUUGCAUUUACAGCAGACCUGAUUUUCAGAUAAGUAAAUGUUCACAAGUCCACUUAAAAUAAGAGGAGCUGCAGCAAUCAUUUCAGAACUGGAUCUUAAACCUUUCUUGGCGGUGAGGGGGAAAGUGGAAAGAGAACAGCAUAUUUGGUAUAGUUGAUGUCUGCGUAUCUCAUGUUUUGAAAGAGAACACUAUUCCUGUCUUAUUGGUAAAAUCCAAGCAAUCUUUGCUCCUACAAGGUACUGUAAAGAGACCUGCCGUUCUGGUAUGUACAUUUACCUUUUAUCUUCUCUCUCAUUGUAAGAGGCAUCCUUUUUUUUUCCAGUCAAACCCCUCAUUUAACCAUUAUUUCUUCUAAAAAUUCCUUCAGUAGAAAUUUGUGUGACGCUAUCAUCCAGCCAGCUUAAGAGACAAUUCAGA